This 205-nucleotide long non-coding RNA is filed under the name Carica papaya (papaya). Its description in RNAcentral is "long non-coding RNA (CPAP_LNC010059)". The record is from RNAcentral. Lineage: Eukaryota; Viridiplantae; Streptophyta; Magnoliopsida; Brassicales; Caricaceae.
AAAAGAAAGAGGGAAAAUAGAAAUAGGAAACAAGAAAGGAGAUCCAAAUGGCCAUGUGCCUUAUGAUCCUCUACAUGCUCAGCCUAGCCUGAUGGGUCGAAACUAGGAGUAGGACAUCUUUAUACCUAAAAGAGGAAGAAGAGUAAAUGAGAUAGUUGAUCCAUUACAAUUAGAUUGCCUUGGCAGUGGAUUGGUUUUAACGAAU